UGGGGAAUAUUGCACAAUGGGCGCAAGCCUGAUGCAGCCAUGCCGCGUGUAUGAAGAAGGCCUUCGGGUUGUAAAGUACUUUCAGCGGGGAGGAAGGGAGUAAAGUUAAUACCUUUGCUCAUUGACGUUACCCGCAGAAGAAGCACCGGCUAACUCCGUGCCAGCAGCCGCGGUAAUACGGAGGGUGCAAGCGUUAAUCGGAAUUACUGGGCGUAAAGCGCACGCAGGCGGUUUGUUAAGUCAGAUGUGAAAUCCCCGGGCUCAACCUGGGAACUGCAUCUGAUACUGGCAAGCUAGAGUCUCGUAGAGGGGGGUAGAAUUCCAGGUGUAGCGGUGAAAUGCGUAGAGAUCUGGAGGAAUACCGGUGGCGAAGGCGGCCCCCUGGACGAAGACUGACGCUCAGGUGCGAAAGCGUGGGGAGCAAACAGG
This 429-nucleotide ribosomal RNA is filed under the name Chloroflexota bacterium. Its description in RNAcentral is "Chloroflexi bacterium partial 16S ribosomal RNA". It matches the Rfam family "Bacterial small subunit ribosomal RNA", at positions 355 to 776 of the family's 1533-position model. Lineage: Bacteria; Bacillati; Chloroflexota. The record is from RNAcentral.